This 1277-nucleotide ribosomal RNA is filed under the name uncultured Gammaproteobacteria bacterium. RNAcentral describes it as "partial 16S ribosomal RNA". It matches the Rfam family "Bacterial small subunit ribosomal RNA", at positions 61 to 1367 of the family's 1533-position model. Lineage: Bacteria; Pseudomonadati; Pseudomonadota; Gammaproteobacteria. The record is from RNAcentral.
GUCGAACGGUAACAUUUCUAGCUUGCUAGAAGAUGACGAGUGGCGGACGGGUGAGUAAUGCUUGGGAACUUGCCUUCAGGAGGGGGAUAACAGUUGGAAACGACUGCUAAUACCGCAUAAUGUCUCCGGACCAAAGCGGGCUUCGGCUCGCACCUGAAGAGAGGCCCAAGUGAGAUUAGCUAGUUGGUAAGGUAAAGGCUUACCAAGGCAACGAUCUCUAGCUGUUCUGAGAGGAAGAUCAGCCACACUGGGACUGAGACACGGCCCAGACUCCUACGGGAGGCAGCAGUGGGGAAUAUUGCACAAUGGGGGAAACCCUGAUGCAGCCAUGCCGCGUGUGUGAAGAAGGCCUUCGGGUUGCAAAGCACUUUCAGUUGUGAGGAAAAGUUAGUAGUUAAUACCUGCUAGCCGUGACGUUAACAACAGAAGAAGCACCGGCUAACUCCGUGCCAGCAGCCGCGGUAAUACGGAGGGUGCGAGCGUUAAUCGGAAUUACUGGGCGUAAAGCGCACGCAGGCGGUUUGUUAAGCUAGAUGUGAAAGCCCCGGGCUCAACCUGGGAUGGUCAUUUAGAACUGGCAGACUAGAGUCUUGGAGAGGGGAGUGGAAUUCCAGGUGUAGCGGUGAAAUGCGUAGAUAUCUGGAGGAACAUCAGUGGCGAAGGCGACUCCCUGGCCAAAGACUGACGCUCAUGUGCGAAAGUGUGGGUAGCGAACAGGAUUAGAUACCCUGGUAGUCCACACCGUAAACGCUGUCUACUAGCUGUGUGUGUCUUUAAGACGUGCGUAGCGAAGCUAACGCGCUAAGUAGACCGCCUGGGGAGUACGGCCGCAAGGUUAAAACUCAAAUGAAUUGACGGGGGCCCGCACAAGCGGUGAGCAUGUGUUUAAUUCGAUGCAACGCGAGACCUUACCUACACUUGACAUGCUGAGAGUUACUAGAGAUAGUUUCGUGCCUUCGGGACUCAGACACAGUGCUGCAUGCUGUCGUCAGCUCGUGUCGUGAGAUGUGGGUAGUCCGCACGAGCGCACCCUUGUCAUAGCUGCAGCUUAGUGGGCACUCUAAGGAGACUGCGUGACAACCGAGAAGUGACGACGUCAAGUCAUCAUGGCCUUACUGUAGGCUACACACGUGCUCAUGGCAUUACAGGGGAGCGAGACAUGUAUGUGGGAGCGAACCUUAAAAAGAGGCGUACCCCCGAAUUGGAGGUUGCACUCCACUCUCUUGGAAUCGGAACAGCUUAAUUAUCACAGGCGGCCGGAAAUAUACUAGGUGAGU